This is a small nuclear RNA of Pongo abelii (Sumatran orangutan), 141 nucleotides long. Its record names the gene U4. It matches the Rfam family "U4 spliceosomal RNA". Rfam says of the family: U4 small nuclear RNA (U4 snRNA) is a component of the major U2-dependent spliceosome. NCBI's taxonomy places the organism in Eukaryota, Metazoa, Chordata, Mammalia, Primates, Hominidae. The record is from Ensembl.
GGGAUUGUGCAGUGGCAGUGUUGUCGCCAAUGAGGUUUACCCAUAAUGUGAUUAUUGCUGAUUGAAAACUUUUCCCACUACGCCACCGUGAUGACUUGAAGUAUAGUCAACAUUGGCAGUUUUUGACAGUCUUUAUGGAGA